UGCCAAUCGAUCAGACAUUCGCUUUGAAACAGCGGGCUUAGUGUCGGUUACAGGAUUUUAUUUAUCCAUAUAUCACGUCUGCACAUCCUUUAAUGUUGUAUCUGUCGCUGCGUUUGGUAGCCUAUAAUAAUCUUAUUUCUAGGCAUUUGAAGAUAUGAUACUCCACUGCUUUAGUAAAUAUACUCCAGCCCACACAAGUCUUCUCAGUUCACCGCUGUUCACGUCAUUUCAACAACUGCUACUCGAGUCUCGCUGUGAUAAUGUCCACAUCGUAAGUGGAUCAGUCACAGCUCUGCUGCUCAGUCCUGCUGUGAGUCUUGUGGAUGCAGUUGAGUGCAUCAGUGAUGAUCAGCCACCGUGGACCUUCGCCACCAUCUGCACCACAGACGAGGGUUUGAUCCCAUAUUCAGACAGAGAUGCAGAUUCAUCAUCCAGCGGUUUCCCUGCGACAACCAGCCGGACUUCACCCAGAAGAUAUCCUACACACACAACGCAGGAGAGAGAGGAACCUCACUAAGCUUACCUUUCUUGGGAAACAGCUUCAGCGCUCCUUUCUUCAGGUCACUGACCGUCUUCCGCUGCUUCUUGGAGGGGUUUAACUUAAGAAUCCUCAUCUCCCCUGCAGGUGAGAGAACAGACAAGCUAAACUUGCACAUUUUGUUUGUCUGGAUCGUGUGUGAGCGGUACGAGCUGCUUCAGGUUAUGUUAAAGUCAGAAUGGGCGUGGGCUGAAUUUAUAAUUGAGAUGGCUUUUUCCUUUUAGGUGGGUUGUCCCAAAUAGCUGUUCACAAAGACUAGCAGCAGCAGCUUAUAUGAGCCUACAAUGGUGACUUUAUCAAAAAACCACACCAACAGAUGCGUUUGGACUGUUAGGGAAGUUCCACAUCUAAUUUAGUUUCACUAUCGUUUUAAAUCGAGUUAUAAGAAAUCGCAUGGUUUACUUUUGCCACACAUUAUGUUUACACUGUAGGGUGGAUAGUUUACAUCAGCUAAACGGACAGAAAAGUAUUUAUUUUUGUCCCCCUUCCCUGUUAAUGCCCUACCUGGCCCCCUGGCAUAACUUUGCUAGACCCGCCCCUGCACAGUUACCAGCUGUCAGCUACUUAGAAAAGGAUCCUGGUGUUAUUUGUCUCCCAGAAAUAGUUCAUAACUUCCCUUCAACUCAUUCAUGUCACCUAAAAGGUAAACCUGUUUGUCCAUCACCUGUUCAGCUCUGAUGAUUCAAUAAGGACAUCUCCUGGUUUCAUCUUCAUGUUUCCCUCUCACCAGAUA
Long non-coding RNA from Astatotilapia calliptera (eastern happy), 1271 nucleotides. NCBI's taxonomy places the organism in Eukaryota, Metazoa, Chordata, Actinopteri, Cichliformes, Cichlidae. The record is from Ensembl.